Molecule: long non-coding RNA, 1189 nt
Filed under: Monodelphis domestica (gray short-tailed opossum)
Lineage: Eukaryota; Metazoa; Chordata; Mammalia; Didelphimorphia; Didelphidae
Description: lncRNA (ENSMODG00000047206.1)
Source: RNAcentral
UUAUUCUGAGAAGGGAUCUAGAAGCUUCACCAGGCUAUGCCAUGACCCAAAACAGGUCAAGAACCUCUAUUUUCUGUCCAUAUUGAGUCUCCCCCCCUCCUACUCCAUAAUCUUUAUGGAUGCCCCCCAUUUCCUUCUCCAAGGUCCUUAGUUAAAUGUAUUAUGCAGUUAGAAAUAUUUGUACCAUUUGGGAAUUUUUUCUAAAAUUCAUGUCCUUUAUACCUUCAGUCUCUUAACUGCCAUAUUCCUUUUCUUUCAGAUUUCCUGCUUCCUGUUGUGAACAAAUUACAACAGCAAGCAGUGGCAAGCCUUCAUCCAGUCACUCAUCCAAAUUCCUCAUAUUCUCUUGGCCAGAGUCAUGCAGGGGGACAAAUGAGUUGGACCCUGAACUGAAUCAUAAGAGAUCAGGCCAGAUUCCAUUUUGGAAAUCACACCAAGCUUUCAAUGAUGCCAAACUGCUUUGUGCAAACUACAAAUUUGAUAAGCAUGUUCAUCAGCUCAAACUCAUGAUUAGAAAGAAACAAAACAAUGGCAAGCCAUCUAUCCCUGAACAAAAAAGAAGUCUCCUGAAUCAUCACAAAGAAAGUAUACUCAGUGAGGAUGCAUCGCAGGGAUGUAAACUCCAGAAACUUAUCUGACCACAAGGGCAUAUUGACUUCUAUGGCAGCGGGAUAUCCAUCAAGUCUGAAGAGCACCAACUCCUUACAGAGCUGGCUUUUUUAUGCCCUAGACAACUGGGAAUCCAUGUCAGCAGCUCAAGCUGUUGUCAGACUAAUCAAGUCUUAGGUACAGAUUUCUUGCCUUUGCCAGGAUUGGGGAGAGAUGAAUCUAGCCAUCCUAAUGGCUAUUGCUCCUGCCAUACACGUCAUACCUUUACUCAAGUCAUUGAUAAAAACGUUAGACUGCAAAGAACCAAGUACAGAUCCCUAGAGCAAUUGGAGACCAACAAGCUUGACCCUGAACUCUUAAACACUAGUCUUUGAGUCUCUCCAUUCAAGUGGCCUGAAUCCAUGAAGAUCUGUUAUUGUUUGGUCCACAUCUCUCCAUCUUUUCUAUGAAAAAAAAGAACUUUUAUCAGAACCUUUAUCAAACGUUUUGCUAAAAUCUAGGCAAGCUAUAUUUAUAAGUGUUUACAGAACAAUUCAAUUUGGUAACUCUUUCAAAGAAGAAAAUAAAUUUUGUGUGGAAC